UGACCUCGAAUCAGGUAGGGAUACCCGCUGAACUUAAGCAUAUCAAUAAGCGGAGGAAAAGAAACCAACAGGGAUUGCCUCAGUAACGGCGAGUGAAGCGGCAAGAGCUCAAAUUUGAAAUCUGGCUCCUCUGGGGUCCGAGUUGUAAUUUGAAGAGGCAUCUUCAGGAGGGGCCCGGCCAAUGUUCCUUGGAACAGGACGUCACAGAGGGUGAGAAUCCCGUUCAUGGCCGGACGCCUACCCCGAUAUGUGGUGCCCUCUACGAGUCGAGUUGUUUGGGAAUGCAGCUCAAAAUGGGUGGUAAAUUUCAUCUAAAGCUAAAUAUUGGCGAGAGACCGAUAGCGCACAAGUAGAGUGAUCGAAAGAUGAAAAGCACUUUGAAAAUAGAGUCAAACAGUACGUGAAAUUGUUGAAAGGGAAGCGCUUGAGACCAGACUUGGCCCUCGACAAACAACCAUCCUUCUGGGUGGUGCACUUGUCGCUGGCUGGGCCAGCAUCGGUCGGGACGGUGGGAUAAAGGCCUGGGGAAUGUGACUCCUCGUCGGAGUGUUAAGAGCCCCUGGUGCCAUGCUGCCUGGCCCGACCGUGGACCGCGCUCGCUAG
This 603-nucleotide ribosomal RNA is filed under the name Tuber magentipunctatum. RNAcentral's name for it is "eukaryotic LSU rRNA". It matches the Rfam family "Eukaryotic large subunit ribosomal RNA", at positions 1 to 644 of the family's 3401-position model. Lineage: Eukaryota; Fungi; Ascomycota; Pezizomycetes; Pezizales; Tuberaceae. The record is from RNAcentral.